UCGAGAAAGAGCAACAAUUUUAUGUGAACCCAGUCUCUGAGGGAUCAACCCUACUCCCUAUACUGCUCAAGUUUGAAAAUUAGGUGUAGGAUUAUAUUGGUGGAAUCGACAACCAUCACUUUGUAUUUCUAGGAGAGUGAAGGAAUCCGAUCCUCAAUUUCCAUGAACCACUCCUUUACCCAUGGCUACUUUAACUUUUUGCUAGAAUUCGAGACCCCUUACAAACUUUACCUCCA
Molecule: long non-coding RNA, 236 nt
Filed under: Gossypium barbadense (sea-island cotton)
Lineage: Eukaryota; Viridiplantae; Streptophyta; Magnoliopsida; Malvales; Malvaceae
Description: long non-coding RNA (GBAR_LNC016395)
Source: RNAcentral